UUGAAGGUUGGGUAACACUAACUGGAGGACCGAACCCACUGUCGUUGAAAAGCCAGGGGAUGACUUGUGGAUAGGGGUGAAAGGCUAAUCAAGCCUGGUGAUAGCUGGUUCUCCCCGAAAGCUAUUUAGGUAGCGCCUCGGACGAAUACCAUAGGGGGUAGAGCACUGUUUCGGCUAGGGGGUCAUCCCGACUUACCAAACCGAUGCAAACUCCGAAUACCUAUGAGUACUAUCCGGGAGACAGACUGCGGGUGCUAACGUCCGUAGUCAAGAGGAAAACAAUCCAGACCGCCAGCUAAGGCCCCAAAAUCAUAGUUAAGUGGGAAACGAUGUGGGAAGGCAUAGACAGCUAGGAGGUUGGCUUAGAAGCAGCCACCCUUUAAAGAAAGCGUAAUAGCUCACUAGUCGAGUCGGCCUGCGCGGAAGAUGUAACGGGGCUAAAACUAUGUGCCGAAGCUGCGGAUGUAUACUUUGUAUACGUGGUAGGGGAGCGUUCUGUAAGCCGAUGAAGGUGUGUUGAGAAGCAUGCUGGAGGUAUCAGAAGUGCGAAUGCUGACGUGAGUAACGACAAAACGGGUGAAAAACCCGUUCGCCGAAAGACCAAGGGUUCCAGUCCAACGUUAAUCGGGGCUGGGUGAGUCGACCCCUAAGGCGAGGCCGAAAGGCGUAGUCGAUGGGAAAAUGGUUAAUAUUCCAUUACUUCUGUGUAAUGCGAUGAGAGGACGGAGAAGGCUAAAUCAGCCUGGCGUUGGUUGUCCAGGUGAAAGGAUGUAGGCAUGUAUCUUAGGCAAAUCCGGGGUACUCUAUGCUGAGAUCUGAUAGCAAGCUGUACUUGUACAGCGAAGUGGUUGAUGCCAUGCUUCCAGGAAAAGUCUCUAAGCUUCAGUUACACAGGAAUCGUACCCGAAACCGACACAGGUGGUCAGGUCGAGUAGACCAAGGCGCUUGAGAGAACUCUGCUGAAGGAACUAGGCAAAAUGGUACCGUAACUUCGGGAGAAGGUACGCUGUUGUUGGUGAUGGAACUCGCUUCCUGAGCUGACGACAGCCGCAGAAACCAGGCCGCUGCAACUGUUUAUUAAAAACAUAGCACUCUGCAAACACGAAAGUGGACGUAUAGGGUGUGAUGCCUGCCCGGUGCUGGAAGGUUAAUUGAUGGGGUUAGCGUAAGCGAAGCUCUUGAUCGAAGCCCCAGUAAACGGCGGCCGUAACUAUAACGGUCCUAAGGUAGCGAAAUUCCUUGUCGGGUAAGUUCCGACCUGCACGAAUGGCAUAAUGAUGGCGGCGCUGUCUCCAGCAGAGGCUCAGUGAAAUCGAAAUCGCUGUGAAGAUGCAGUGUACCCGCGGCUAGACGGAAAGACCCCGUGAACCUUUACUGCAGCUUGACACUGAACUUUGACCUUACUUGUGUAGGAUAGGUGGGAGGCUUUGAAGCUGGAACGCUAGUUCCAGUGGAGCCGUCCUUGAAAUACCACCCUGGUAAUGUUGAGGUUCUAACUCUGUCCCGUGAUCCGGGACGAGGACCGUGUCUGGUGGGUAGUUUGACUGGGGCGGUCUCCUCCUAAAGAGUAACGGAGGAGUACGAAGGUGCGCUCAGCGUGGUCGGAAAUCACGCGUAGAGUAUAAAGGCAAAAGCGCGCUUAACUGCGAGACCCACAAGUCGAGCAGGUACGAAAGUAGGUCUUAGUGAUCCGGUGGUUCUGUAUGGAAGGGCCAUCGCUCAACGGAUAAAAGGUACUCUGGGGAUAACAGGCUGAUACCGCCCAAGAGUUCAUAUCGACGGCGGUGUUUGGCACCUCGAU
RNAcentral lists this ribosomal RNA (1801 nucleotides) under Acinetobacter baumannii. Its description in RNAcentral is "partial 23S ribosomal RNA". It matches the Rfam family "Bacterial large subunit ribosomal RNA", at positions 745 to 2530 of the family's 2925-position model. The record is from RNAcentral. Lineage: Bacteria; Pseudomonadati; Pseudomonadota; Gammaproteobacteria; Moraxellales; Moraxellaceae.